Molecule: unclassified non-coding RNA, 345 nt
Filed under: soil metagenome
Description: partial contains 5.8S ribosomal RNA, internal transcribed spacer 2, and large subunit ribosomal RNA
Rfam family: 5.8S ribosomal RNA (bases 1-120)
Source: RNAcentral
GAUGAAGAACGUAGCGAAAUGCGAUAAGUAAUGUGAAUUGCAGAAUUCAGUGAAUCAUCGAAUCUUUGAACGCACAUUGCGCCCGCCAGUAUUCUGGCGGGCAUGCCUGUCCGAGCGUCAUUUCAACCCUCAAGCCCCCGGGCUUGGUGUUGGAGAUCGGCGAGCCCCCCGGGGCGCGCCGUCUCCCAAAUAUAGUGGCGGUCCCGCUGUAGCUUCCUCUGCGUAGUAGCACACCUCGCACUGGGAAACAGCGUGGCCACGCUGUAAAACCCCCCACUUCUGAAAGGUUGACCUCGGAUCAGGUAGGAAUACCCGCUGAACUUAAGCAUAUCAAUAAGCGGAGGA